Molecule: long non-coding RNA, 1637 nt
Filed under: Bemisia tabaci
Lineage: Eukaryota; Metazoa; Arthropoda; Insecta; Hemiptera; Aleyrodidae
Description: lncRNA ENSASIAIIG010119
Source: RNAcentral
UUUUCUUUUUUAAAAAUUAAAUUAAUUCUAAUCUUUUUUACAGGUCCUUCUCUAUUUAUAUAUAGAAUUUUAUUUUUCAAACAAUUACAAGAAUUGUACAUGACUGUGAUGGCAGAAUUACAACUUUUUAACAACUACCUGCGUUAAACAGGUAUUAAUCUAAAAUUGAGGAUUACAGAAAUUGAAGAAUAACUAUUAAAAAAUGUUUAGAUGAGCCCGAAACAGAAAUGGGCGACUGAAGGUGACUUGGGAGCCAAAACCGGUGAGACGAGAUCACCUCCUUGACGGCAGAUCAGUUGACUUCACCCUUUGGAAAAAAGACUCCGAAUAAUGAUGAAUGCCAAAAGGCGCAGCGGGGGAAAAAGCAAAGUGCAGAAAAAUCCCCCGAUGGUAACUAGUCCGAAAACGUGAAGAAUAUGGGCGGAAAUCCCAAAGAAAGAGGUUAAGCCGCAUCCCUGGUAGCGAUGUGCGAGCAGGCGGAGCAGGUGGCGAUAUUUCAAACUAUUUCAUUAAGCCGGUUUGCCCAGGAACACCAAAAAGACGCACAUAAACUAAUGGCGCGGCUCAUGAGGUUGAGCUGCAUCUCUGGUAGCACUGUGUGAGCAGGCGGGGCGGGUGGCGAUAUUUCAGACUAUUUCAUUAAGCCGGUUGCCCAGGGACACCAAAAAUACGCACAAGAGUUAAUGAUGCAGCUCAAGGAGUGCGAGUUUUCACCGGCGCCCGGAGGGGUGUAGAAUUUCCCUCUUUCGUCCGAUAUUUAAACUCUACGCGCUGAACGGAGAUGUAAACCUCUCUAUUUAGGUACAAAAACAUAAGCGAGAUAAUUGGGAGUGUUUUAUACCAUGUCCCUGAUGAGAGUCAGAAUAAGGUCAAAAUUUUGGAAAAGAACUCGUCCCCCUGUAUGCAGGAUCCUACUUGUGUUUUGGUAGAUCCUUUCACUGACCAAGUUAUCGCAGAACCCUGCAGCCAAUGCAUUUCUCCUGCCGGAGGUUCGUCCAUGUCUCCUCUUCCAGAUUUUGAAGGAGACUUUAGAGAAGAAUCAUCCUUUGAAUUUAAUACACCUAUUCAUGAGCCGUUCAAUGUCCUAGAAGAAAACGACUUGCAGUCUGUCAUUACCAUCCUCUUCUUCCAUCUGUAAUUGCUCGUUGACUACCACCGCCGAUUGAUCGAGAGUUCUUUUCUCCUGCUGGGAUGAAAUAGCUGGAAUCGACAUUAAGAGAGACACUUUUAGAGUAAUAACAUGUUGCUUGUAUUGCUUGUAAACUGUUAUUACUGCAUGCGGUAUUGCUGCUAUCAAUCUCAACUUCUUCAUCCUUCAAAUCUAUAAUUUCUAUACCGGGGUCCAUUUCUAGUCUUACGUACCUGAUGAUUUCAUUAUAUUGACUACACAAGGUUUCAUUUAACAAGCCAAACCAGGCUUCAGGGCCCUCCUCCCAACCCCAGGUGCCCCCUGAAUAUCGGCACUGCUUCCCCGAUUCCUGUUUCCAGUUCUCAGAAUCAGGAAUUUAUAGUUUCGGUGAGUGUGGAGAUUCCCCCUCCAACCUUGAGGACGAGGAAGCUCAGUGAUCUCAUGCUCAUGUAGUUUCUACAUGUAACUAUUUCCUAUGCUGCUUCGUGUGCAAAUUAACCCUGCAGUG